UAAGUUAUUAAGGGCGCACGGUGGAUGCCUUGGCACUAGAAGCCGAUGAAGGACGUUACUAACGACGAUAUGCUUUGGGGAGCUGUAAGUAAGCUUUGAUCCUAGAGAUUUCCGAAUGGGGAAACCCAGCAUGAGUUAUGUCAUGUUAUCGAUAUGUGAAUACAUAGCAUAUCAGAAGGCACACCCGGAGAACUGAAACAUCUUAGUACCCGGAGGAAGAGAAAGAAAAUUCGAUUCCCUUAGUAGCGGCGAGCGAAACGGGAAGAGCCCAAACCAACAAGCUUGCUUGUUGGGGUUGUAGGACACUCUAUACGGAGUUACAAAGGACGACAUUAGACGAAUCAUCUGGAAAGAUGAAUCAAAGAAGGUAAUAAUCCUGUAGUCGAAAAUGUUGUCUCUCUUGAGUGGCUCCUGAGUACGACGGAGCACGUGAAAUUCCGUCGGAAUCUGGGAGGACCAUCUCCUAAGGCUAAAUACUCUCUAGUGACCGAUAGUGAACCAGUACCGUGAGGGAAAGGUGAAAAGCACCCCGGAAGGGGAGUGAAAUAGAACCUGAAACCGUGUGCUUACAAGUAGUCAGAGCCCGUUAAUGGGUGAUGGCGUGCCUUUUGUAGAAUGAACCGGCGAGUUACGAUUUGAUGCAAGGUUAAGCAGUAAAUGUGGAGCCGUAGCGAAAGCGAGUCUGAAUAGGGCGUUUAGUAUUUGGUCGUAGACCCGAAACCAGGUGAUCUACCCUUGGUCAGGUUGAAGUUCAGGUAACACUGAAUGGAGGACCGAACCGACUUACGUUGAAAAGUGAGCGGAUGAACUGAGGGUAGCGGAGAAAUUCCAAUCGAACCUGGAGAUAGCUGGUUCUCUCCGAAAUAGCUUUAGGGCUAGCCUCAAGUGAUGAUUAUUGGAGGUAGAGCACUGUUUGGACGAGGGGCCCCUCUCGGGUUACCGAAUUCAGACAAACUCCGAAUGCCAAUUAAUUUAACUUGGGAGUCAGAACAUGGGUGAUAAGGUCCGUGUUCGAAAGGGAAACAGCCCAGACCACCAGCUAAGGUCCCAAAAUAUAUGUUAAGUGGAAAAGGAUGUGGCGUUGCCCAGACAACUAGGAUGUUGGCUUAGAAGCAGCCAUCAUUUAAAGAGUGCGUAAUAGCUCACUAGUCGAGUGACACUGCGCCGAAAAUGUACCGGGGCUAAACAUAUUACCGAAGCUGUGGAUUGUCCUUUGGACAAUGGUAGGAGAGCGUUCUAAGGGCGUUGAAGCAUGAUCGUAAGGACAUGUGGAGCGCUUAGAAGUGAGAAUGCCGGUGUGAGUAGCGAAAGACGGGUGAGAAUCCCGUCCACCGAUUGACUAAGGUUUCCAGAGGAAGGCUCGUCCGCUCUGGGUUAGUCGGGUCCUAAGCUGAGGCCGACAGGCGUAGGCGAUGGAUAACAGGUUGAUAUUCCUGUACCACCUAUAAUCGUUUUAAUCGAUGGGGGGACGCAGUAGGAUAGGCGAAGCGUGCGAUUGGAUUGCACGUCUAAGCAGUAAGGCUGAGUAUUAGGCAAAUCCGGUACUCGUUAAGGCUGAGCUGUGAUGGGGAGAAGACAUUGUGUCUUCGAGUCGUUGAUUUCACACUGCCGAGAAAAGCCUCUAGAUAGAAAAUAGGUGCCCGUACCGCAAACCGACACAGGUAGUCAAGAUGAGAAUUCUAAGGUGAGCGAGCGAACUCUCGUUAAGGAACUCGGCAAAAUGACCCCGUAACUUCGGGAGAAGGGGUGCUCUUUAGGGUUAACGCCCAGAAGAGCCGCAGUGAAUAGGCCCAAGCGACUGUUUAUCAAAAACACAGGUCUCUGCUAAACCGUAAGGUGAUGUAUAGGGGCUGACGCCUGCCCGGUGCUGGAAGGUUAAGAGGAGUGGUUAGCUUCUGCGAAGCUACGAAUCGAAGCCCCAGUAAACGGCGGCCGUAACUAUAACGGUCCUAAGGUAGCGAAAUUCCUUGUCGGGUAAGUUCCGACCCGCACGAAAGGCGUAACGAUUUGGGCACUGUCUCAACGAGAGACUCGGUGAAAUCAUAGUACCUGUGAAGAUGCAGGUUACCCGCGACAGGACGGAAAGACCCCGUGGAGCUUUACUGUAGCCUGAUAUUGAAAUUCGGCACAGCUUGUACAGGAUAGGUAGGAGCCUUUGAAACGUGAGCGCUAGCUUACGUGGAGGCGCUGGUGGGAUACUACCCUAGCUGUGUUGGCUUUCUAACCCGCACCACUUAUCGUGGUGGGAGACAGUGUCAGGCGGGCAGUUUGACUGGGGCGGUCGCCUCCUAAAAGGUAACGGAGGCGCUCAAAGGUUCCCUCAGAAUGGUUGGAAAUCAUUCAUAGAGUGUAAAGGCAUAAGGGAGCUUGACUGCGAGACCUACAAGUCGAGCAGGGUCGAAAGACGGACUUAGUGAUCCGGUGGUUCCGCAUGGAAGGGCCAUCGCUCAACGGAUAAAAGCUACCCCGGGGAUAACAGGCUUAUCUCCCCCAAGAGUUCACAUCGACGGGGAGGUUUGGCACCUCGAUGUCGGCUCAUCGCAUCCUGGGGCUGUAGUCGGUCCCAAGGGUUGGGCUGUUCGCCCAUUAAAGCGGUACGCGAGCUGGGUUCAGAACGUCGUGAGACAGUUCGGUCCCUAUCCGUCGUGGGCGUAGGAAAUUUGAGAGGAGCUGUCCUUAGUACGAGAGGACCGGGAUGGACAUACCUCUGGUGUACCAGUUGUCGUGCCAACGGCAUAGCUGGGUAGCUAUGUGUGGACGGGAUAAGUGCUGAAAGCAUCUAAGCAUGAAGCCCCCCUCAAGAUGAGAUUUCCCAACUUCGGUUAUAAGAUCCCUCAAAGAUGAUGAGGUUAAUAGGUUCGAGGUGGAAGCAUGGUGACAUGUGGAGCUGACGAAUACUAAUCGAUCGAAGACUUAAUCA
Molecule: ribosomal RNA, 2920 nt
Filed under: Staphylococcus aureus subsp. aureus CIG1114
Lineage: Bacteria; Bacillati; Bacillota; Bacilli; Caryophanales; Staphylococcaceae
Description: bacterial LSU rRNA
Rfam family: Bacterial large subunit ribosomal RNA
Source: RNAcentral